Molecule: long non-coding RNA, 292 nt
Filed under: Capsicum annuum
Lineage: Eukaryota; Viridiplantae; Streptophyta; Magnoliopsida; Solanales; Solanaceae
Description: long non-coding RNA (CANN_LNC005646)
Source: RNAcentral
CCAGAGGGUAUAUGGGCUAGACUUGAUGAAAACUGAAAAUUGGACCGCUGAGAAAUUUCAAAAGACGAGCAGCCAAGCAACAUAACUAUAAAUAGAUAAAAUCAAAAGAAAUAGAUACCAUCUAUAAUACAAAUAUACGUGUGGCAGUUUUCCAAUGAUCCACAACAUGGGUUCAUAAGAAGUUUGACUUAACCUUAGUUAGAGACUUCGUGCUGAUAACGUAUUAUAAAACAAUAAAGAAUAAAGAAGAAGAGUAGAGAGAAUAGAGGGAGUGAUUCUUAUUUCUUCUCUU